UUACAUUUUCCUUCUUUUUAUUUUUUAAAAUUAGAUCAAAAUGACAUUGGACAUAUAUUAUAAAAUAAAAACAAAGAUCUUUUGACAUUUGAAAAAAAUUGUAUUGAUCUCACAUUGUCUGACACAAACAUUAGCAACUGAGCCAAGUAGAACCAAAAUAAAAACAUUUGGUGAGGGGCUGGGGCCUACAAUGUGUUUGUGUUUUGUCUAGUUGUGUAACACCGAGGGCUAAGGAUCAAUGUUUUAUGAAAAUAAACUUGAUAGAAACACAAUGGAUCAGAACUCUCUGAUUUACGAAUCAAAAUAAUUAAAAGCUGAAUGUCUUUGGAAAGAGUGCGUGUC
This is a non-coding RNA of Biomphalaria pfeifferi, 342 nucleotides long. The record is from the annotation of a GenBank genome assembly. Lineage: Eukaryota; Metazoa; Mollusca; Gastropoda; Planorbidae.